UCUGAAAACCCCCUAUCCCAUCCUCCCUCCCCCUGCUUCUAUGAGGGUGCUCCCCCACCCACCCACCCACCCACUCCCGCCUCACCCCCUACCAUUCCCCUACACCGGGGCAUUGAGCCUUCAUAGGACCAAGGGCUUCCCCUCCCAUUGAUGCCAGAUAGGGCCAUCCUCUGCUACAUAUGCUGCUGGAGCCAUGGGUCGCUCCACAUCUACUCUUUGGUUGGUGGUUUAGUCCCUGGGAGCUCUGGAGUAUCUGAUUGGUUGGUAUUGUUGUUCUUCCUAUGGGGUUGCAAACCCCUCCAGCUCCCUCAGUCCUUCCCCCAGCUCGGUCUUUAUUUAAAACCCAUGUUGUGGAUGCUGCUGCAUUCCUCGCCUGACAGACAAGGAUGUUGAUUUUUCAACAGCUUUCAGCUUUCCUCAGUUUUAUCCCCAAAAUGAACAACAAAUACCGCUUUACAAAUUUCGUACUAUAACAUUAUACCAUCGUUUCUAGUGAAUAAACACUGAGAAAACUUAAUUUGUAAUCAGUACUGCCCCCUCCCCCUUUGAGUUAAAACACUUCAGCUUGUGUCUUAUUUGAAUUUUUUGUUUGUUUGGAUUAAAGGCUCUGUGUCACUGCCACCUGGCCUUGAAUUUCUCAGGAUGACCUCCCCCAUUGCUGGCACAGGAGGCGCUCAGUCAAUACGCCCGAAUCCAGAUAAAGCACACCAAGCCAACCGGGUUCCACAUGGAGAGAUUUAAUGAGAGAAGAGGAGAGAAGAGGAAAAGAGGCCAGCCAUGGCUGAGGCUACAGGGAGAGGUGGCAGCCAGUCCUACAGAGCCUCACAGGUCAGGCUUCGGUUCAAACUUCGAGCAGCUUUCACAACGCAGAAAAAUCGCUCCUGAUGUAGGUGAUCACUAUCUGUGUUUGUCCAACAAGCACUAUGUCCACCAAAAAUAUUUUGAGGACAAUAGCUUACCAAGACUGAUCAAGGAAGCAAAGUUUAAAAUAAAAAGAUAAAUAGUUCUUCAAGCACCUAGAUAAAAUGACAACUAAAAGUCGAUUCCUCCUCCGUGUCUUCCUUUCUCUCGUUUCCUCUUUAACUCUUCUUGUUUCCCUGUCUCUCUUUCCCUCCAGUACGGGAGGCAUCAGAGUCCAUCUGUGCUGGGGGACCUAGGGAGCCCUGCUGGGAGCAGGAAGGGUGCUGAGGCUGAGAAGGACAGCCAGGCAGGAAGGAGCACAGUCCAGGGAGGAGGAGGACUUGCAGAUGGAGAGAUGUGUUGGGGGAAGUUUGAAGAUUUAUCAGACCGCAAAUAAUUAAAUUGGUCGAAUACAUAAAUAAAGGCAUUGUUGAUAAUGAGCGCCAAGUUUCACUGUGAUGGAGAAUGUACCCGUAAACGUGUCCAGUCAGAAGUCCUGACUAAUCCUAAAGCAUUAGAUUAGACUCUAAUAGAAUCGGUGUGAAUUACAGAUCCAGCGGGUAUGUCUUUCUUACAUUGUCUUGUUGUCCUUUGUUUUUUGAGACAGGCUGGCCUAGAACUCAUGAAGGAUUCCAGGCUGACUUCAAACUCACUCUAACUCUAAUCCUCCUGCUCUAACCUUUCAAGCGAGUGCUAAGAUGAUAGAUAGGUGUGAGCUUUUUCUUUUCCCUCCCCCAUUCUUUCUUGUUUCUUUUCUUCUCUCUUUGGUCUUUUCCUUUCUUCCUUGCCCUCAUUAAUGAGUCAUCUAGUGGCCAAAACCAAAUGGGACUCCAUUAGUCAUAAGAGCAUAAUUCACCCCAAACCUGUCUUCCACUUACUGCCAACUAAUGAAACCAUACACUGAGCUGGAGGGCUGCUUUGGUGGUUAAGAACACAACACUGGCUGCUCUUCCAGAGGAUCCGGGUUUGACUCCCAGCAUCCACAUGACAGCUCAUAAGGGGCUGUGCCUCCAUCCUUUUCUAGCCUCUGAGACACACAGACAUACAGUCAGAACACCCAUAUACAUAAUGUUUUUAAGUUCACAAUGAGGAAGAACAGGAAAUCAUGAACAGCGAGGCGUGAAUGAAAAAAUGUUCCUUACUGAGGGACCUGCAUCCUUUGAGAAACACUUUCAAGCCAUAAAACUUGCAUUUACUGAUGACUUAAACUAACAUACACUUAUUACCGUCUUACUGUGUUUGAGGUUCUGUGUUCUUGCCUGGCACAAAGGCCUGUGAUGAACUGUGUUGAUUCUGUCCUUGGGAGGAAAACACAGCACAGUGAGUGUCCCUAUCCCUUCUCUCUCCUCCCUCUUACUUCCCUCCAAGUGCCCAUGGCCAACCUCCUUUCCUCCCUUCUUCUACUCUUCUUCUCUCAUUAAGCCUCUCUACGUGGAACCAUGUUAGCUUGGUGUGCUUUGUCCCGGUGUGGGCUGAGAUUUUAAACCCUAACAGUGGGGGCCCAUAUGAAGAGAUUGAUCUCCCCGUGCCUACAUGGCCUGGCACCCUGCCACUGCUGACCUCGGGGCAGAAGAUAGGCCUUUUCCACCGCAUACCUCCACCACCUGUCAAGGCUCGAGCAUGCACCACCCAAGAUCGCUGCAGCACGUCCCGCCAUUGAGUUCCACUCUUACAUUCACUGCUGCUUCUGUGUGCACCACCCCAAUUCGAUUGCAGCUGCUGCCUCUGCUAUGCCAUCUACACAUCCGACCACCACCACCACCACCUGCUGGCUUCCACCACAUGAGUUGCUGCUUCAGCUGGCCCACAUGCAGACUUCUGCAUGAGCCGCUGCCCUCUGCGGUUCACCACGUGGUGCCAGCUCUUGCUGCUUAGACAGGCCCGCCCCAACCACACGGUUCCUCUUUUCCUGCUACCAGACUGCAGCUACAGUCUCUUCACAAACACCGGCUGAUUGGUAGGUAUAUUCCGGUUGGCAAGGAGGACCCUGAUUUCCCAGAUAAAGUCUGGCCAGCUUUUCUGAGAUUACGGGAAUUUUCUUGAUCAUUGAGUGGAGUUUCCCUCAAAAGUGGUUCCUCGCUCCCCUCCUGCUCUGGGCUCUCACAGCCAACAACAAAAAAAAAAAUCCCAGGCCUGGGUAGGAACGCUUUCUUGUGUGUCUGGGACCCAUCGUUUAUAGCUGCCAGGAGUCUAAUCCACGACUCAAACACCAGGCGUGGCAGAGUAUUACCAUUACCAUUAAUUUCUCCUGGGACGCUGGUGAGAUUUAAUUGGUGACUUCCUCCAAUGGGAAAUUCGAGGUCUUCGACCGUACCCCCAAAUUCACCGUCAGGAUGUCUUUUAGAGAAUUUCAAAACUUCAAAAUUAACACCUCACCUGAGGACAUCAAAAUUGAUACACCUAUGCAGUAUUCAUUAGAUAAUGUUCAAAAUGGCCGCAUAAUGGCACUCCUUUUUCACUGAAUGAACUUUCUCAAAUAGAAAGCAGACUGGGUUCCUAUACCUCUAAUUCAUUCACUGUUAUUAAAGAGUUCCAGUACAUUACCCAAUCUUACAGCUUGACCUUUCAUGAUGUGCAUAUGGUCCUUACUAAUAAUUUACUUCCUGAGGAACACCGGCAAGUUUGGGAGCAGGACAGUCUUAAAACCAGUGAAUUUUGAAAAAACUACAAGAGGUCAUCCAGGAAGAAACAGGAAAACCCACCCCAAUCUUUAGAACGCCUUACAAAGGCUUUAUUGCAAUACACUAAUCUAGACCUGGAAAACCCAGAAGGUAAACAACUUCUGAUGAACUAUUUCUUUUCCCAAAGGGACAAACUUAAAAAGCUGGAGAGGGGGUCCCUAACCCCGCAGGCAGAAAUUUUGGCGCUGACCUUCAAGGUGUACCAUGGGAGAGAUGGGAAGGCUUGCAGACAAAAGCACCUUAUGCUGGUAACGGCUGUCUGACCAGCCUCAGCCACUCCCUGGAACUCCUGGUCUUCUAAGGCUAAGAGACCACCAGGCUCCUGCCAAAAAUGUGGUCAAGAAGGUCACUGGGCAAGGGCUUGCCCUAACUUCUGAAAACCAAGGGUCCAUGUCCUAGAUGCCAUCAAGAGGGACACUGGGCUGUCGAUUGCCCUCAUGUUGUGCAGGACAGGGGGACAUCAUGCCCAGAUAACCCUCCAGAGGAUCUUCUAGGCUUGGCUAUGGAUGACUGAAGGGUCCUGAGUUCCCUGGACCUGACCACUGCCAUUUCCAGCAGGGAGACAUUAUGGUAUGUGGGUAGCCCAUCUCCUUCCUCUUGGACACCGGGGCCACUUACUCCUAAUGGCGUUUUGGGGACCCAUUUCUUUCUCCCGAUUCCCCAUUGUCGGGGUAAGGGGUAACCUAACUUUCCUCACCAAACCCUACUGCUUAGUUUCAAUUUUAGGGGUGUACCUCCCACUCAUUCCUUUUUGGUGGUGCCGACAUGCCCUGUCCUCUUAUUGGGAAGGGAUCUUCUAGCUAAGUUGGGAGCCUUUAUUUCCUCUGCUCUACCCAUUUGCCUAAAACCAAGCUCGCCUGCACUCCUCUGCUUCUCCUAGCCAGCCAACCUACUAACACGGACAUGUUGCUUCCUUUACCAGCUUUUCAGGUAGACCUCCCUGAGUCUGGGAGGUCCAGAACCCCUCUGUUGCUAAACAGUCUUUCCAAAUAGGAUCUGGAAACUGUCUUAACUGUCCUUUUUGUCAUGACAAACAGUUUUAAGACACCCAGGACACUUUCUACAGGACAAAUUCUUCCUUCUGCUCCACAAAAAGCUUAUCUUAAAGAAUGUUCAUGUUGUUAACUCAUGUUGUUAUCUCUCUUGUAAACUUGUAAGUUACAGGAAACCCUCUCAGACCUAUUGUUGUUGUUAAAAUCUCCUUGUUGCUAAAUAUGGGCCCACGCCCGUCCAGAUAGAGCACACCAAACCAACACAGUUCCACGUGGAGAGAUUUAAUGGGAGAACGAGACAAGGGGAAGGAUCGAGAGAAAGAAGAGGAAGAGAAGGAGGGCAGAAGAGGGCUGCCUUUUAUUUGGAAUGUGAGGUAACUACUCCCAGAUGGAGGUGGGAAUUAAACUAAAGGAAUACUGGGAAUGUACGGCCGUUGCCGUGGCAACAGUGACCAACCGGUGUCGCUGUUGGAGGUAAAGGCAAUUCCUGAUACCAACAUACUUCCCUUUUUCUUAGCAUAAAAAGAAGGGGG
Non-coding RNA from Rattus norvegicus (Norway rat), 5106 nucleotides. The record is from RefSeq and is a predicted model, not a curated record. Lineage: Eukaryota; Metazoa; Chordata; Mammalia; Rodentia; Muridae.